This 1448-nucleotide long non-coding RNA is filed under the name Chloebia gouldiae (Gouldian finch). RNAcentral describes it as "Erythrura gouldiae (Gouldian finch) lncRNA (ENSEGOG00005007989.1)". The record is from RNAcentral. Lineage: Eukaryota; Metazoa; Chordata; Aves; Passeriformes; Passeridae.
ACGAAUCAAGCUGCUGUUACAGUUCCCAUGAAGCUGUCCAUCAGUGGUGGAUGCAGAGAGCAAAGCCAUUAGAAUUGGCUGAACAGGUGGUGGAGAAUAGCUGAACACCUGCAGGUAAAAAAAGCUGCAUCAGAGCUGCUUCAAGGCAAACAGUAUUCCCUUUUCCAGCAGCCUAACUGAAGAAUCUUCGUUUUACAGACAGUAGAGCACACAAAGUAAUGUUUUCAAUUCUUAAUCAAAUACAGUUUUUGUUCAAGAAUCUGCUUUUGUGGGGGAGUUUCAGCCAGAACCUUAGAAACACUGGAAUACUGCAAGCCAUUUGUGAUACCACCCUGUUUCAUUUGCUUACAAACUUUAGAUGAAUGUAGAAACAAAAUAAUGCUUUAGGAGCCAUGAAUGUAGAAAGAAAAUAACACUUUAGGAGGAGCUAUGGUGGCUGUGAUGGAUAAAAAGCCCUUGUAAUAGUUACCUGGUAAAGAAAUUACAGGGAUGGUCUUCAUAUCGGAUCUCACUCACAUUAAGCUCUGUUCAUAUCCUGUCAGAGAUGAAAAAAACAGGAAUUAAAUUUAAGUGCCAAUAAUUAGAUGAGAGGAGUCUUGUAGCUAGGCACCUGCAGGAUAAGUAUUUAGACAUGCUUGAUUAGUGGGGAAAAAAAUUAAAAGUCCAUUAGCAAAAGAAUAUCUGUCACUGCAUUUUCUCUUAAUAACUGAAAGCUUAAUGCAAUUAAACACAUUUAAUAUGUUGCUUUCCAGGUACUGUUUAAAUUUCAUGUCCUCUGCUAAUUAUUUUCACAUGUUAUAUUGCUUUACCAAGGUGAGGGAAUGGUUCAAAAUCAGUGUAUCCCUUUUGAGUCCAAGCUAGGGUUACAAAAGUAAUUCACAUUUAUAUUGUAUGUUUUUAGUGGAAUGAAGUCAUGCAAUGGAUUCAGUUUGGCUUGGUGAAAAAAACAUCCCAUAUGUGCAUUGCUAUAGUCCUUUAUUAUUCACAUUUGAUCUAUCUGGCAUUUGAUACAAGAUACAGGCAUGGACAAUUUGCCUCAAGCUGCUACAAUGUUUACAGAAGAGAGAUCAUCCAAGAUAGAGCUAAGGAAAUGUUAUCUUGAAUUUCCAGACUUCUGGAAAUCUGUUCUGAGAAGGUGAGUGCAGAUUUGGAUGACUGGAAUGGUAUCUUUUGCUCCUCUCUUUGGAGGGCACAUUCUUUUUCUUAUUAUUAAUGUGACUAAUCAGUGAGACUUUCUCUAUAUUCUUACUGGUUAAACCUGCUGGUCAUGGGUGUGGCUCUAAUUUAAGUUCUUUUGCCAGCAUCCAAGAAGACUCUGUAUGUGUGGAUUCCUUUCUCUAUUAAAUAGUGUUACUUUAAAAACAAACAUUAAACUUUUAUGAAAUUAUACUGAUUCCUGAGUGUUGUUUGUUUAAAAAUUAUUCUCUAAAGAGGAUUUUAAAAGUACA